GUGUGGUCCAAGUGCAGUGGUGUUUACGACAAAUUCAUCACAACCAAUUACAGAUUCCUUUGUUUCUUCUCCGCUCCCACUGCUUCACUUGACCAGCCUUAA
Molecule: Y RNA, 102 nt
Filed under: Prolemur simus (greater bamboo lemur)
Lineage: Eukaryota; Metazoa; Chordata; Mammalia; Primates; Lemuridae
Description: Y RNA (ENSPSMG00000002997.1)
Rfam family: Y RNA
About the family: Y RNAs are components of the Ro ribonucleoprotein particle (Ro RNP), in association with Ro60 and La proteins. The Y RNAs and Ro60 and La proteins are well conserved, but the function of the Ro RNP is not known.
Source: Rfam by way of RNAcentral